CCCUUCUUGUCCAAAGCACUGUGCUAAAAUCCCAGGGACCAGGCAGAGCUCUGGGCUCUGGGAUAAUGCUAGCAGAGUACGUGCAGGAAGAAGAACAACCAUGCACUGGAUCCAAACUGACUGGGGUGGACCUCUUUCUUAAUGUCCAGUGUCCUGGGUCAGAAGAUCUGGUGCAACAGUU
This 181-nucleotide small nucleolar RNA is filed under the name Calidris pugnax (ruff). RNAcentral describes it as "Small nucleolar RNA SNORA81 (ENSCPUG00000013933.1)". It matches the Rfam family "Small nucleolar RNA SNORA81". The record is from RNAcentral. Lineage: Eukaryota; Metazoa; Chordata; Aves; Charadriiformes; Scolopacidae.